UACGUAGGGUGCGAGCGUUAAUCGGAAUUACUGGGCGUAAAGCGUGCGCAGGCGGUUCGUUGUGUCUGAUGUGAAAGCCCCGGGCUCAACCUGGGAAUGGCAUUGGAAACUGGCGAGCUAGAGUGUGGCAGAGGGGGGUGGAAUUCCGCGUGUAGCAGUGAAAUGCGUAGAGAUGCGGAGGAACACCGAUGGCGAAGGCAGCCCCCUGGGUUGACACUGACGCUCAGGCACGAAAGCGUGGGGAGCAAACAGG
This 253-nucleotide ribosomal RNA is filed under the name uncultured bacterium. RNAcentral's name for it is "partial 16S ribosomal RNA". It matches the Rfam family "Bacterial small subunit ribosomal RNA", at positions 524 to 776 of the family's 1533-position model. The record is from RNAcentral.